Molecule: ribosomal RNA, 799 nt
Filed under: uncultured Bacillota bacterium
Lineage: Bacteria; Bacillati; Bacillota
Description: bacterial SSU rRNA
Rfam family: Bacterial small subunit ribosomal RNA
Source: RNAcentral
AAAGUGGAGCAAUCCAUGAGUACAGUGGCGUACGGGUGAGUAACACGUGGAUCAUCUACCUUUUAGUGGGGAAUACCCCCGGGAAACUGGGGACAAUACCGCAUAAGCCCGCAAGGGGAAAGCAGCAAUGCGCUGAAAGAGGAGUCCGCGGCUGAUUAUGCUAGUUGGCGGGGUAAUGGCCCACCAAGGCGAAGAUCGGUAGCCGGCCUGAGAGGGCACACGGCCACACUGGCACUGAAACACGGGCCAGACUCCUACGGGAGGCAGCAGUGGGGAAUCUUGCACAAUGGGGGAAACCCUGAUGCAGCGACGCCGCGUGAGCGAUGAAGCCCUUCGGGGUGUAAAGCUCUUUCGACGGGAACGAUAAUGACGGUACCCGAAGAAGAAGCUGCGGCUAACUACGUGCCAGCAGCCGCGGUAAUACGUAGGCAGCAAGCGUUGUUCGGAAUUACUGGGCGUAAAGAGUGUGUAGGCGGUGUUCUAAGUUUGGUGUGAAAUCUCCCGGCUCAACUGGGAGGGUGCGCCGAAAACUGGAAUGCUAGAGUAUGGGAGAGGUAAGCGGAAUUCCUGGUGUAGCGGUGAAAUGCGUAGAUAUCAGGAGGAACACCUGUGGUGUAGACAGCUUACUGGACCAUCACUGACGCUGAGACACGAAAGCGUGGGUAGCAAACAGGAUUAGAUACCCUGGUAGUCCACGCCCUAAACGAUGCAUACUUGGUGUGAGCGAUUCAUUUCGUUCGUGCCGGAGCUAACGCGUUAAGUAUGCCGCCUGGGGAGUACGGUCGCAAGGCUGAAACUC